UACGUAGGGUGCAAGCGAUGUCCGGAAUUAUUGGGCGUAAAGAGCUCGUAGGCGGUUUGUCACGUCGGAUGUGAAAACCCGAGGCUUAACCUCGGGCCUGCAUUCGAUACGGGCUGACUAGAGUUCGGUAGGGGAGACUGGAAUUCCUGGUGUAGCGGUGAAAUGCGCAGAUAUCAGGAGGAACACCGGUGGCGAAGGCGGGUCUCUGGGCCGAUACUGACGCUGAGGAGCGAAAGCGUGGGGAGCGAACAGG
This 253-nucleotide ribosomal RNA is filed under the name uncultured bacterium. RNAcentral describes it as "partial 16S ribosomal RNA". It matches the Rfam family "Bacterial small subunit ribosomal RNA", at positions 524 to 776 of the family's 1533-position model. The record is from RNAcentral.